UACGUAGGCAGCGAGCGUUGUUCGGAGUUACUGGGCGUAAAGAGUGCGUAGGCGGUGCUCUAAGUUUGGUGUGAAAUCUCCCGGCUCAACUGGGAGGGUGCGCCGAAAACUGGAGUGCUCGAGUGUGGGAGAGGUAAGCGGAAUUCCUGGUGUAGCGGUGAAAUGCGUAGAUAUCAGGAGGAACACCUGCGGUGUAGACGGCUUACUGGACCAUGACUGACGCUGAGGCACGAAAGCGUGGGUAGCAAAC
This 250-nucleotide ribosomal RNA is filed under the name uncultured bacterium. RNAcentral's name for it is "partial 16S ribosomal RNA". It matches the Rfam family "Bacterial small subunit ribosomal RNA", at positions 524 to 773 of the family's 1533-position model. The record is from RNAcentral.